AAAACAUUUCAAACAACUCUGCAUCUCUGCCCAGCCUGGCAAGAGUGUCCAAAAGGGUGUUUAGCAUCCCCAGUGGUUCUACAAGUAUGGAGAGGAUAUUCACUGCUGCUGACCUGCUCUUCAGCCACCAUCACAUGAGACAGAAGCCACAGAAUGGCCAAACUGGUGUUUCUAGAAAUGAAUUCAAAGGCACUAAUAAGUCAUUUUUCGUUUAAUUAGUAUUUAAUUCUAAGUCAAAUCGAAAUUGUAUUUGUCACAUGCGCCAAAUACAACAGUGAAAUGCUACUUACAAGCCCUUAAUAACUAACAAUGCAGUUUUAAGAAAAAAAAAAAAUCACAGCCUAUUUGCAAAAGAGAGAGAGAGAGGUGUAGAGAGAGAGGGAGAGAGAGAGAGGUGUAGAGAGAGAGAGAGAGAGAGGUGUAGAGAGAGAGAGGGAGAGCGUUGUAGAGAGAGAGAGGUGUAGAGAGAGAGGUGUAGAGAGAGAGGGAGAAAGAGAGAGGUGUAGAGAGAGAGAGAGGUGUAGAGAGAGAGAGAGGUGUAGAGAGAGAGGGAGAGAGAGGUGUAGAGAGAGAGGGAGAGAGAGGUGUAGAGAGAGAGAGAGAGGUGUAGAGAGAGAGAGAGAGAGAUGUAGAGAGAGAGAGAGAGAGAGAGAGAGAG
This is a long non-coding RNA of Oncorhynchus tshawytscha (Chinook salmon), 658 nucleotides long. The record is from Ensembl. NCBI's taxonomy places the organism in Eukaryota, Metazoa, Chordata, Actinopteri, Salmoniformes, Salmonidae.